GGUGAGAUGGCCGAGUGGUCUAAGGCGCUAGAUUUAGGCAAUUUCUGUUAAACUCUAGUCAUUCGUGGCGUGGGUUCAAAUCCCACUCUCAUCA
This 94-nucleotide transfer RNA is filed under the name Lentinula raphanica. RNAcentral describes it as "tRNA-Leu". It matches the Rfam family "tRNA". Rfam says of the family: Transfer RNA (tRNA) molecules are approximately 80 nucleotides in length. Their secondary structure includes four short double-helical elements and three loops (D, anti-codon, and T loops). The record is from RNAcentral. Lineage: Eukaryota; Fungi; Basidiomycota; Agaricomycetes; Agaricales; Omphalotaceae.